UCUGAUGGUCUUCCAUGUUCAACACUAAUGUUUACGUCUAUUAUUCCGAUUGGUGACUGUCAAUUCGACUCUAUUAAUUCCUGAAUGUCCGGUGACAUGUGCCGAGCUUCUCUGAUUUAUAGGUCAAAUUAUUUGAGGGAAAUGAUGCGGUAAAUACCAGUGUACAAAAAAAGGUUUCAUCGUUUUUCCAUUCCCCUCCGGUGCAUCGUACCACUUUCAAAUUUUGUCUUGGUACAGAGUGGAGCUCUCAAUUGGCAUGGCGAAGAGAACUUUUGCAAAUAUUUCUCCUCUUCCCAUCUUCGAUAUACGUAUAUACACACACGGACGAGCUAUCUUCACUGUGAAGACCCCCUGAGGGAAAUAAUUCGAAAGAGUUGGAAGUCGUUCGCGUGCUUAUCUCCCGGAUCUUGGCAGUCGCGAUGCUGCGCUAUAUUUCUGCUCGAGAGAAGUGUCUUAUUGAUCCGCAAAGAAGAAACAUAAAAACAAAAAAUGAAACAGAAAUAAUAAAAUACAAAGAGAAGCAAUGAAGAGGAAUGAAAAAAUGGAUCGUGUACGACGAUCUCAUUUAAUCGGGUACGCGCUGUUGCAGUACACAGCACAGAUAUCUAAGAUUCGGUCCAGAGACAGCAGACCAAUUGGUACUUGCUGUGGCACUUAUGCUGUCAAUCGUCGGGGAGUCUUUUUUUGAGACGCCAUUUUGCGACCGCUCCUCUGCUUUAUAAAAUCUACUGAAAAUAAAAAAUAAAACAUUUCCUUUUAUACUGCAUUACUUCACCAACUAAUACACAAUAUUUCAAAUAAUUUGAUCGAGCCGUUGUUUCAAAGAAAAUUCCCAAAAACUACCUCAUUUUUCAGCCUGUCACACCGAUAGUCCCCCUCAAUUUAUAAUAAAAUGAAAAAGCUUUCUGUUUCAA
RNAcentral lists this long non-coding RNA (914 nucleotides) under Venturia canescens. RNAcentral's name for it is "uncharacterized LOC122407745, transcript variant X1". Lineage: Eukaryota; Metazoa; Arthropoda; Insecta; Hymenoptera; Ichneumonidae. The record is from RNAcentral.